This 776-nucleotide ribosomal RNA is filed under the name uncultured Neocallimastigales. RNAcentral describes it as "partial large subunit ribosomal RNA". It matches the Rfam family "Eukaryotic large subunit ribosomal RNA", at positions 23 to 647 of the family's 3401-position model. The record is from RNAcentral. Lineage: Eukaryota; Fungi; Neocallimastigomycota; Neocallimastigomycetes; Neocallimastigales.
AGAGAGAGACAUGCGCGCAUAUCAAUAAGCGGAGGAAAAGAAACUAACAAGGAUUCCCCUAGGUAACGGCGAGUGAAGCGGGAAGAGCUCAAAUUUGAAAUCUUAAAGGGUUUCCCUUUACGAAUUGUAGUUUAAAGAAGUGUUUUCUGUUGAGGUUUUGGUAAAAGUUCUUUGGAAUAGGACAUCAUAGAGGGUGAGAAUCCCGUAUUUGACCUUUACUUUCAACUUUGUGAUACACUUUCAAAGAGUCGGAUUGUUUGGGAAUGCAGUCCAAAAUGGGUGGUAAAUUUCAUCUAAAGCUAAAUAUUGGCGAGAGACCGAUAGCGAACAAGUACCGUGAGGGAAAGAUGAAAAGAACUUUGAAAGAGAGAGCUAAACAGUACGUGAAAUUGUCAAAAGGGAAGCGUUUGACACCAGUGUUGUUUUUCUGAAAAUCAAUUAAAGAACUGUUUAUGCUAAGCUGUUUAGACUUUAUCAGCUAUCUGUUUAGUUUUGAGCUUUUCUUUAAUGCACUUUUCAGUUAACAAGUCAACAUCAAUUUCUUUUGCUGUAAAAAAGCUUGAGGAAGGUGGCUUGAGAUUCGUCUUAAGUGUUUAUAGCCUCUUGCCUAUGCAGUCGGAGAGAUUGAGGUCUGCAGCGUAGAUCCUUCGGGGCUAAAUGCAUUUGUGCUAAGUUAUAGCAUUUUAUAGACAACUUGUUGACUAUGAUUUGUCUUGUAGCUUACUCGCUUAUGUUAUUUUACCUACGCUUAGGAUGUUGACGCAUGAGAUAUACGC